Molecule: ribosomal RNA, 268 nt
Filed under: Staphylococcus haemolyticus
Lineage: Bacteria; Bacillati; Bacillota; Bacilli; Caryophanales; Staphylococcaceae
Description: partial 16S ribosomal RNA
Rfam family: Bacterial small subunit ribosomal RNA
Source: RNAcentral
GGAAACCGGAGCUAAUACCGGAUAAUAUUUCGAACCGCAUGGUUCGAUAGUGAAAGAUGGUUUUGCUAUCACUUAUAGAUGGACCCGCGCCGUAUUAGCUAGUUGGUAAGGUAACGGCUUACCAAGGCGACGAUUCGUAGCCGACCUGAGAGGGUGAUCGGCCACACUGGAACUGAGACACGGUCCAGACUCCUACGGGAGGCAGCAGUAGGGAAUCUUCCGCAAUGGGCGAAAGCCUGACGGAACCACGCCGCGUGAGUGAUGAAGG